GUGAGUGCACAUGCUCACCAAGUUUGUGCCAAGUCAUGGAUUGUGAUGUUGUGUAGGUAAUGACAUUUGAAAGGCAUACUCAUAAUGUGGGUUGAUAAAUGCUGCGUUGGUUUUUCUGUAAAACUCUGGAACUGGUGAGGCAAUUAUGUAUGAAAUUCUGCUAUCUGAAGAGGAAUGUCCAUUGGACAUUGCUGUAGAAAGCAAACGCAAAGUCCGGUUUGUACUUAAAGUCCCUCAGGAUCAGGAAAUGGCCAAUCAACAUGGGGCUCUGCCGGCCCUUACAGACUCUGCCAGACACAAGAUGCUGAGCAAGUUUUUUGGAGUCAGCAGCAGCGAACUUAGUCUUCCCUUCUCGCAGUCUGUACCUUCAUCACAUGAUAACCUAUCUAAUGGCUUUGACUCCCCACGUUCAGACACAUAUUCCAACUGUGAUGCCAUCAGUGUGAGCAGUAGUAACAGCAGUAGUAGCAGCUUUUCAAAUGGCCAACGCAAAUCCAGAGGGCAAAAACCUGUACUUGGUUCAAAUGGGGUUACAGGAUUAUUAUUGAAACCUCAGACUCCUCGCUUCAAGCGAAAGGCACCAACUCCCGGUCAAGAGCAUAGAAAUAUACGACCCCCUAACAGGGCACAGAAAAAGAGACACAGACCAAAAUCACUAACUUUGAUGCUGGAAAGAAGUCUGAGUUUAAAGAGGAGACAAAAUGAUGGUGGUAGAAAGCAGAAUGGGAAGGAACUGUCAACAGAGGAAUCAGCCCCAGGAGUCCUCAAAGUGUUUGGAGACUCCUUGUGCCCUGGAUCAAAUUAUAAGAGUAUACUUGCUUCUGCAAGGUCAUCAGCUGUUGAGUUAGUGAAGGAAAUUUUGACAAGGUAUUCUCUACCCAGAAGUGCACAUACCGAAUAUGUUCUGUGUGAUGUCAUCGGAAAGUUUGUAAGUAGGAAGCAAAAUGGACUGAAGAAGACAGAACAGGGUGAUUCACAGGAAAGAUGGAUUGAGGAAUGUGUAAGAGCACUUGCAGACAAUGAGAAACCUUUGAUGAUCCAGUCAUUCUGGAAGCCUGGUGAUGGUCUUGUAAGGCGAUUUGAGAUCAGACGACGACAAGAUCUCCCACCUGACGAGAUAGACAGCAUCACAUCUGGUAUUAACAAGAAUGCCAGAAGACUUCAGAUGUCACGGUCACAUGCUGUUGCUCCAAAUGAGACCAGUAUGGACAGGUUGGAUACUGGUGUAGAUAUGGAAAAUGGAUUCUUCAAUGGAGACCUUGCUUCCCAUUCUAGUCCACGAUCAAGCAUCAUCCACUCUCAGGAUCCAAACUUGAGCCUGGAACGCGAAGAAACAGAGAGCAGUGAUGAGCCAAUCCUUUGCAAUAUGAGAAUGCCCUCAGAACUGCCCUAUUUCCUAACACUCCACGGUUAUGACAAUCAUGAUGUCUUGCUUCACAUGCUUACCAAGGAAGUGAUGCUUGUGGGCAAUAGACAAAUUGAACCUGAGGAGGAUGAUAGUGAUGAAUUGUAUGCAGAGGGUGUUGAUAUCUCUCUAGAGGCUCCUGAUAUCUUGCCACAGCACUGUUGGAUCUUCCGCCAGCAGAGGCAUCUUCAGGAACAGGAAGACUCUAGAGAAGAAGAGAGUGAAUUUGUUGUAAGACUAGAGACCUUACCCGAUGCGCACGUCAUCAUCAAUGGUAUCCCUGUUUCUGGAAGUGCCACUCUUAACCCAGGAGACUUUGUGUGCUUUGGUCAUCACUACGCAGUUAUGUACAAGGACCCUGCAGCCUGUACUUCUCCAGCAAUGUUCCCCUGGAGUAUCCCACCCAGCAUGACUCAGAGGCGCUGGGUUGCUCCCAACCAGUAUCUUGCCCAGAAAGCCAAUGAAUAUACCAACGACAAGCAGAGAAUUAAAGUUAUGUACAGACCUUAUGACGAGGACCAGAUUUUCAACUGGAUUGGGCAACACCUGGAGAAGGCAGACACCAAGUGUCCUCUUGGAAUGUCUUACCUCUUAGCAUCUAUGGUUGAAUAUGCCGCCUAUCACUUUCAUCAGACCAAUGCAAAAUCACUCAUUAUCAAAUCUGCAACUCUCAUCCAAGGCAUCGCGUGGGUAAGUAAUAGUGUAAAGAUUUUGAGACAUAUCAAUGUAUUUCAUUUGUUAUUUUGUGUUUAAAAAAAAUCCUUUUCGUUGUGCCUGGAUCUUCCAUGUCUACAUGCAAAUCAAAACAAAAACAACAACUGAUAAAUGAAAUACAGUGCUUCCCAGAAAAAAGGAAACAGGAAUUCAGUGUUAUUUUCUGCCAUCAUAAUUAUUAAUUUGCUUCGUGAGAUGUACACUGUAUAUCAAUAAAAAGAUAUGCUUCCCCUCUUUCAUUUAAAGCCCAUCUCAAUGUUUAUAAUGCAUGCAUGACUGAGUUAGGACAAUGGAAAUUAUUGCUAGCAAAUUUCCAUUUGCACAAGCAAAGUACGAUUUUAAAUGAGUUUUCCUGGCUAUUUGGAAAACAAAGUUCAGAACUUACAUAUGAAUUUUUGUCUCACUUGCAUAGCAGAGUGACGGCAUCAGCAUCAAAUCUUAAAUAAAGGUUAAGUUUUUGAAAUGACAGCAUAACUUAGAAAGUAUAAGUUUCAGGUCACAUGACUAAGGUCAAAGGUCAUUUAGGGUCAAUGAACUUAGACCAUGUCGGGGGUAUUUGUUGAAUUACCAUCAUAACUUUGAAAGUUUAUGGAUCUGAUUCAUAUAAGUUGGACAUAAGAGUAAUCAAAUAUCACUGAACAUCCUGUGCGAGUUUCAGGUCACAUGACCAAGGUUUGGUCAUUUAAGGUCAAUGAACUUUUAUCAUGUUGGGGGUAUUUGAAUUACCAUCAUAACUUCGAAAGUUUAUGGAUCUGAUUCAUAAAAUUUUGACCUAAGAGUAAUCAAGUAUAAAUGAACAUCCUUUGCGGGUUUUAGGUCCCAUGACGAAGGUCAAUGAAUUUGACCAUGUUGGGGGUAUUUGAAUUACCAUCAUAACUCUAAAAGUGUAUUGUUCUAUAGUUCAUAAAACUUGGACAUAAGAGUAAUCAAGUAUCAUUGAACACCCUGUGCGGGUUUUAGGUCACAUGACCAAGGUCAAAGGUCAUUUAAGGUCAAUGAACUUUGGCCAAGUUGGGUUUUUUGUUGAUUAUCAUCAUAACUUUCGUAAGUCUAUGGAUCUGUUUCAUAAAACGUGGACAUAGGAGUAAUCAAAUAUCACUGAACAUCUCAUGCGAGUCAAAGGUCAUUUAAGGUCAAUGAACCUUGACUAUGUUGGAGGUAAUUAUUGAAUUGCUGUCAUAACUUUCAAAGUUUAUGGAUAUAGUUUAUGAAAUGUGACAUAGGGGUAAUCAAGUAUCACUGACAAGUCUUAGGUCACAUGAUCAAGGUCAAAUUUCAUUUAGGGUCAAUGAACGUAGUAUUGUAUUAUUAUAUGAAUGGUGUUUUUUGUGAAUAAUUAUUAAUGCAGGUGAGACUGCUAGAGGCGCUCCACUUGUUCAUCUUUCAUAUGAAACCUUGUCGUAAAAUUGAUUGAUGCAUGGUCGAGAAAGCAUGAAAACAUGCUUGAUUCCUAUCUAUUUGAUGGAACGUUGAAAAACAAGCAUUUCCAACAAAGAGCUACCAGUGAUGUGCACGAUUAAUAUGAUAUUGUGGUUGGCUUGAAUAUUAUAUUUGAAUUCUGUCUGUAAAACUUGUAAAAAUAUUGCUUGAUAGGAUUACAUGUAGACGAGGCAGGGGCAGCAGAAUUUUGGAUGGGAGGGGAUGAUCCACUGAGAAAAACAAUCCGUCGAAUAGGUAAAAAUUAAGCAUGUUUUUAUGCUACUUUUUCUCGACCAUGCGGCAUUCACAUUUUACACUUUGGGUCUCACAAGGAGGAAAAAUUGAUAUUCAAGUUAUGAAAUUUGUUUUCGAAAAGAUAGCAGUAAAGCCAGGAAAACCAACUCAAAAUCGUAAUUUGCUUUUGCAAAUGAAAAUUUGGUAGUACCAUUUUCCUUUGUUCUAACUCAGUCAUGCGUGCAUUACUAACAUUGAGAUGGAUCUCAAAUGAAAGAAGAGAAGCAUAUCCAUUCAUAUACAUUUCAUGAAGAAGAUUUAUGAUUAUACAGUCCGACCUCUCUUAUCCGGACACGUUGGGACCAGCACCAAUCCGGAUAAGGGAUUUAUCCGGAUCUCGGAGACCCAAUAUUAAAUACACGCAGCUGCUGCCUCAGCUCCCCAACGGCGGUAGCUACACGUUAUAUAUUGUAGUGGGCGCGCGUACAGACAGUGCACUCGGGAUUCGGCGUCACACCAUAAUGCAUCAAUGCCUCGCUCGGGCACGAAUUGCUCUUCUUGCGCUGGUGGAGAUGGGGUUUCUUGAAUCUCUAGAUCAAUAGCGAAGAUCAGGCUAAAAUCUCAAGAUUGAGAAAACUCAGGCUGGUGCAGCACCAACUUGUUUGAUCAAUUUCACUCAUGGAAAAUAAUUGUCUAGUUCAACGAAUAUCAAUUCCAAAAGAUAUUUUGUCUGACUUUUUAAAUAAUAUUUUCUUUAAAAAACGAGUUUGCUAUUGACUUCCAGUUGUUUUUCCGAUUAGACCCGGCUUUGUUGCAUUUGCAUCUACAC
Lytechinus pictus (painted urchin) is the source of this 4601-nucleotide RNA transcript. It is a transcript of the gene named ras-associating and dilute domain-containing protein-like, with no coding region annotated. The record is from RefSeq and is a predicted model, not a curated record. NCBI's taxonomy places the organism in Eukaryota, Metazoa, Echinodermata, Echinoidea, Temnopleuroida, Toxopneustidae. The transcript is spliced from 3 exons.